Molecule: long non-coding RNA, 247 nt
Filed under: Elaeis guineensis (African oil palm)
Lineage: Eukaryota; Viridiplantae; Streptophyta; Magnoliopsida; Arecales; Arecaceae
Description: long non-coding RNA (EGUI_LNC053183)
Source: RNAcentral
AUAUUUUGUAGGAAUAUGGUACAGACAAGAUUAGGACUUGGUGGAGAACAACCAUCAAUGUAUAAUAGAGGCUGAGGAUAAGCCCCAAAUAGGGGUAGAGGCCGAGGUCAGGGUAGACCAAGAGAAGUUGAUAGGGGUGGCCAACCUCAUAGGACAUCAUCUUGUGUCUCAUCUUCUACCCCGAGGGUGGAAGUAGAGGUUUCACAGUUGCAUGAUCAUAUGCACAACUCUCCAUCCACUACACCAG